RNAcentral lists this ribosomal RNA (516 nucleotides) under uncultured bacterium. RNAcentral describes it as "bacterial SSU rRNA". It matches the Rfam family "Bacterial small subunit ribosomal RNA", at positions 23 to 538 of the family's 1533-position model. The record is from RNAcentral.
CUCAGAUUGAACGCUGGCGGUAUGCUUAACACAUGCAAGUCGAACGGUAGCAGGCCUUCGGGCGCUGACGAGUGGCGGACGGGUGAGUAACGCGUAGGAAUCUGCCUCAUAGUGGGGGACAACGUGGGGAAACUCACGCUAAUACCGCAUACGCCCUACGGGGAAAGCGGGGAGUCUUCGGACCUCGCGCUAUGAGAUGAGCCUGCGUUAGAUUAGCUAGUUGGUAGGGUAAAGGCCUACCAAGGCGACGAUCUAUAGCUGGUCUGAGAGGACGAUCAGCCACACUGGGACUGAGACACGGCCCAGACUCCUACGGGGAGGCAGCAGUGGGGAAUAUUGGACAAUGGGCGCAAGCCUGAUCCAGCAAUACCGCGUGUGUGAAGAAGGCCUUAGGGUUGUAAAGCACUUUCAAUUGGGAGGAAACCUGUCGGUCAAUACCCGGCAGCUUGACAUUACCUUUAGAAGAAGCACCGGCUAACUCCGUGCAGCAGCCGCGGUAAAUACGGAGGGUGCAAG